This 464-nucleotide ribosomal RNA is filed under the name Vreelandella stevensii. Its description in RNAcentral is "partial 16S ribosomal RNA". It matches the Rfam family "Bacterial small subunit ribosomal RNA", at positions 339 to 795 of the family's 1533-position model. The record is from RNAcentral. Lineage: Bacteria; Pseudomonadati; Pseudomonadota; Gammaproteobacteria; Oceanospirillales; Halomonadaceae.
CUACGGGUGGUAGCAGUGGGGAAUAUUGGACAAUGGGCGAAAGCCUGAUCCAGCCAUGCCGCGUGUGUGAAGAAGGCCUUCGGGUUGUAAAGCACUUUCAGUGGGGAAGAAAGCCUUGGGGCUAAUACCCUCGAGGAAGGACAUCACCCACAGAAGAAGCACCGGCUAACUCCGUGCCAGCAGCCGCGGUAAUACGGAGGGUGCGAGCGUUAAUCGGAAUUACUGGGCGUAAAGCGCGCGUAGGCGGUCUGAUAAGCCGGUUGUGAAAGCCCCGGGCUCAACCUGGGAACGGCAUCCGGAACUGUCAGGCUAGAGUGCAGGAGAGGAAGGUAGAAUUCCCGGUGUAGCGGUGAAAUGCGUAGAGAUCGGGAGGAAUACCAGUGGCGAAGGCGGCCUUCUGGACUGACACUGACGCUGAGGUGCGAAAGCGUGGGUAGCAAACAGGAUUAGAUACCCGGGUAGUC